Molecule: small nuclear RNA, 105 nt
Organism: Sciurus carolinensis (gray squirrel)
Lineage: Eukaryota; Metazoa; Chordata; Mammalia; Rodentia; Sciuridae
Source: RefSeq, a predicted model, not a curated record
GUGCUCAUUUUGGCAGUAUAUAUACUAAGAUUGAAAUCAUACAUAGAUGAUUAGCAUGGUCUGCUUAUGGAUGACAUGCAAAUUUAUGAAGUGUUCCAUAUGAAA